RNAcentral lists this unclassified non-coding RNA (318 nucleotides) under uncultured Thelephoraceae. Its description in RNAcentral is "sequence contains 5.8S rRNA gene". The record is from RNAcentral. Lineage: Eukaryota; Fungi; Basidiomycota; Agaricomycetes; Thelephorales; Thelephoraceae.
GAACGCACCUUGCGCCCUUUGGCUAUUCCGAAGGGCAUGCCUGUUUGAGUAUCAUGAACACCUCAACUCUCAUGGUUCGCCAUGAUGAGCUUGGACUCUGGGGGUCUUGCUGGCCUCAUGGUCAGCUCCUCUUAAAUAAAUCAGCUUUCCAGUGUUUGGUGGCAAUCACAGGUGUGAUAACUAUCUACGCUUGUGGUGUCCUCCCAGGUAACCUUCAGCAAUGGAGGUCACUGGAGCUAAUAAAUGCACAUCUCUUGUUGUAGGGAUGGCCUUUUAGAUGUUUGAUCUCAAAUCAGGUAGGACUACCCGCUGAACUUA